This is a non-coding RNA of Pelobates cultripes (western spadefoot toad), 609 nucleotides long. NCBI's taxonomy places the organism in Eukaryota, Metazoa, Chordata, Amphibia, Anura, Pelobatidae. The record is from the annotation of a GenBank genome assembly.
GGCCCACCCACCAGGCGGGAAGGACCAGGGUUGGAGGGGAAGCAGGAAUGAAAUGCACGAAGAAGACAAGGAGCGUAAUUCCUUUCUGCUUUAGACAAUUGCUUAGAAAUUACACCACAAGGAUGCAAAGGCUUGUCAGGGGACUCUGUUUUGGAUAUAACAACUCCCACACCCACCUCAGAGGCAUCAACUUCCAAUAUAAAUGGCAAGGAUGGGUCUGGGUGUUUCAUGAUGGGAUAUGAGGAAAAUGUGCAUUUUAGAAAUUGGAAAGUUGAAACUCCAGGAAUAGGAAUCAGCGUCUUUUUUUGUUAAACGGGUGAUAGGUGCAGUGAUGGAAGAAAAGUUCUUAAUAUACCUUCUAUAAUAAUUUGCAAAGCCAACAAAGCGCUGGAUGGCUACUAGUCUGUUUCUUGUUCUCGUAUACUGGUAUAGAAUAGUCUAUUUCUUGUUCUAGUAUACUGUCUCCUGUAUUAUAUUAUCUAUAUCAAUGAGGUAGUCUAUAAGAUCUUCCAAAGCAACAGGGAGUUCUCUAGCUGCUACCUCAUCUAAUAUAACAUCAGACAAUCCCUCCAUAAAGGCAGAGGCAAGACCGCUAUUGGUCAAUGACAG